This 402-nucleotide ribosomal RNA is filed under the name Gyrodinium helveticum. RNAcentral describes it as "partial small subunit ribosomal RNA". It matches the Rfam family "Eukaryotic small subunit ribosomal RNA", at positions 30 to 432 of the family's 1831-position model. Lineage: Eukaryota; Dinophyceae; Gymnodiniales; Gymnodiniaceae. The record is from RNAcentral.
GCUUGUCUCAAAGAUUAAGCCAUGCAUGUCUAAGUAUAAGCCUUUACACGGUGAGACUGCGAAUGGCUCAUUAAAUCAGAAACUGUUUAUUUGAUAGUGCCUACUACUUGGAUAACCGUAGUAAUUCUAGAGCUAAUACAUGCGCCCAAACCCAACUUCUUGGAAGGGUUGUGUUUAUUAGAUACAGAACCAACCCAGGCUCCGCCUGGCCUUGAGGUGAUUCACAAUAACCGAACGAAUCGCAUAGCUGCCGCUGGCGAUAGACCAUUCAAGUUUCUGACCUAUCAGCUAUCGUCGGUAGGGUAUUGGCCUACCGUGGCAAUGACGGGUAACGGAGAAUUAGGGUUCGAUUCCGGAGAGGGAGCCUGAGAAACGGCUACCACAUCUAAGGAAGGCAGCAGG